Molecule: long non-coding RNA, 497 nt
Organism: Dermacentor albipictus
Lineage: Eukaryota; Metazoa; Arthropoda; Arachnida; Ixodida; Ixodidae
Source: RefSeq, a predicted model, not a curated record
GGCAAGGCCGUGACCAACAACAGUGUCCACGUCAUGGAGGAGCUAUGGCUGCAGCAGCACUGUGUGUAAUCGGAUGGUCUGGUCAGGUACAGAUUGGUGUGGGAUUUGUGAUGCCACUCAACAAGUGGCAUUACAUAUUCAAGUCUGCUUCCGACGGAAAGUGCCCAUUAGAGGUGGCAUGGCACCUGUGGACACCAGUGCAAGCAGGUGAAAGCAGCCUGACUGGACAGGCCUGCCGAACAAUGUGCCGCGCAUCUGGGAAGCUUCCGGCAACACCGGAGAAAGUGGCUGCUUUGAAAAACUGCCUGGAGAAAUACAUAAGUGACCAUCCAAUGAUGCCACCUACACCACAUCCGGAGAACCACCUUGCUUCCCUGCGAAAGCACCUUUGGAGCUUUCUUUUACACAAGCAGGACGCCAGGGCAAGCGAGUGGAAAAGUAAAUACAGUACAAGUCCAGUGAUGCUUUUUCAAUAAAGUGUGAUGAUAUGCUACGUA